UCAAGUUAUUAAGGGUGCAGGGCGGAUGCCUUGGCACUAGGAGCCGAUGAAGGACGUGAUAAGCUGCGAUAAGCUUCGGGGAGUUGCACGUAAACUUUGAUCCGAAGAUUUCCGAAUGAGGAAACUCACUUAGAGUAAUGUCUAAGUAUCAUUAAGUGAAUACAUAGCUUAAUGAGGGGAACUCAGGGAACUGAAACAUCUAAGUACCUGAAGGAAGAGAAAGAAAUUCGAUUCCGUAAGUAGCGGCGAGCGAACGCGGAUUAGCCCAAACCAAUAAAGUUUUCUUUAUUGGGGUUGCGGACAUAUCAUAACGAAGAGGUAUCGUAAUUGAAGAGGUUUGGAAAGACCCACCACAGAAGGUAAUAGUCCUGUAUGUUAAACGAGAAGACUUUAGAUAUGAUCCAGAGUACCACGGGACACGUGAAACCCUGUGGGAAGCAGGAGGGACCACCCUCCAAGGCUAAAUACUACCUAGUGACCGAUAGCGUAUAGUACCGUGAGGGAAAGGUGAAAAGAACCCCGGGAGGGGAGUGAAAUAGAACCUGAAACCCUGCACUUACAAGCUGUGGAAGCACAUUUCUUGUGUGACCGCGUACUUUUUGUAGAACGGGCCAACGAGUUACGUUAAGUAGCAAGGUUAAGCACUUAAGGUGUGGAGCCGUAGCGAAAGCGAGUUUUAACUGAGCGUUCAGUUACUUGACGUAGACCCGAAACCGGGCGACCUACCCAUGAGCAGGAUGAAGCGAAAGUAAAAUUUCGUGGAGGUCCGAACCCACGAGCGUUGAAAAGCUCGGGGAUGACUUGUGGGUAGCGGUGAAAUUCCAAUCGAGCCCGGAGAUAGCUGGUUCUCCCCGAAAUAGCUUUAGGGCUAGCCUCAAGGUGAGAGAUACGGAGGUAGAGCACUGAAUGUCCUAGGGGGUAUUGCACCUACCGAAGACUAUCAAACUCCGAAUGCCGUCAUCUUAUACUUGGGAGUCAGACUGUGGGUGAUAAGAUUCAUAGUCGAAAGGGCAACAGCCCAGAUCGUCAGCUAAGGUCCCUAAAUGUAAGUUAAGUGGUAAAGGAUGUGGGAUUGCACAGACAACCAGGAUGUUGGCUUAGAAGCAGCCACUCAUUCAAAGAGUGCGUAAUAGCUCACUGGUCGAGUGAUCCUGCGCCGAAGAUUUCCGGGGCUAAAACUUACUACCGAAGCUACGGCAUCAGUAAUGAUGGGUAGGGGAGCUUCCCAUACGGGUUGAAGCAUGACCGUAAGGACAUGUGGACAGUAUGGGAGUGAGAAUGUUGGCAUGAGUAGCGAGAUGUGGGUGAGAAUCCCACAGGCCGUAAACCCAAGGUUUCCAGGGGAAGGUUCGUCCGCCCUGGGUUAGUCGGGACCUAAGCUGAGGCCGAAAGGCGUAGGUGAUGGACAACAGGUUGAUAUUCCUGUACUACCGAUAACCGUUUGAGAGAAGGGAUGACACAGUAGGAUAAGCUAAGCACACUGUUGGUUAUGUGUGCCCAAGCAUUGAGGCAGUCAAAGUAGGCAAAUCCGCUUUGAUAAUGCUGGGAUGUGAUGGGGAGCGAAAUUUAGUAGCGAAGUAGCUGAUUUCACACUGUCAAGAAAAGUCUCUAUCGAGGUUAAAGGUACCCGUACCGCAAACCGACACAGGUGGGUGAGGAGAGUAUCCUAAGGCCAGCGAGAGAACUGUUGUUAAGGAACUCGGCAAAAUGACCCCGUAACUUAGGGAUAAGGGGUGCCACCAUCAGGUGGCCGCAGAGAAUAGGCCCAAGCGACUGUUUACCAAAAACAUAGGUUUCUGCUAAGUCGCAAGACGAUGUAUAGGAGCUGACGCCUGCCCGGUGCUGGAAGGUUAAGGGGAUCUGUUAGAGCAAUCGAAGCAGUGAACUUAAGCCCCAGUAAACGGCGGCCGUAACUAUAACGGUCCUAAGGUAGCGAAAUUCCUUGUCGGGUAAGUUCCGACCCGCACGAAAGGCGUAACGAUUUGGGCACUGUCUCAACAACAGACUCGGUGAAAUUGUAAUUCCGGUGAAGAUGCCGGAUACCUGCGACAGGACGGAAAGACCCCAUGGAGCUUUACUGUAGCUUGACAUUGGGUCUUGGUACUACAUGUACAGGAUAGGUGGGAGGCUUUGAAACCAGGACGCCAGUUUUGGCGGAGCCAUCCUUGGGAUACCACCCUUGUAGUACUGGGACUCUAACCAUAGGCCAUGAAUCUGGUCUUGGGACACUGUCAGGUGGGCAGUUUGACUGGGGCGGUCGCCUCCCAAAAGGUAACGGAGGCGCUCAAAGGUUCUCUCAGUACGGUCGGAAAUCGUACGUAGAGUGUAAAGGCAAAAGAGAGCUUGAUUGCAAGACAUACAGGUCGAGCAAGGAUGAA
This 2378-nucleotide ribosomal RNA is filed under the name Clostridioides difficile. RNAcentral's name for it is "bacterial LSU rRNA". It matches the Rfam family "Bacterial large subunit ribosomal RNA", at positions 3 to 2403 of the family's 2925-position model. Lineage: Bacteria; Bacillati; Bacillota; Clostridia; Peptostreptococcales; Peptostreptococcaceae. The record is from RNAcentral.